RNAcentral lists this non-coding RNA (29 nucleotides) under Mus musculus (house mouse). The record is from RNAcentral. Lineage: Eukaryota; Metazoa; Chordata; Mammalia; Rodentia; Muridae.
UGGGGACUCUUGUAAUAGGAUACACUGGA